Molecule: long non-coding RNA, 750 nt
Organism: Oncorhynchus tshawytscha (Chinook salmon)
Lineage: Eukaryota; Metazoa; Chordata; Actinopteri; Salmoniformes; Salmonidae
Exons: 2
Source: RefSeq, a predicted model, not a curated record
UCCUUUAUUUUAGCAUGUGCACAUGGUAAGUCAUCAUGCUUCUUGGAUGUGUCUUUUCAGAUUCCACAAUGUUUCUUUAGUUGUGGACAUUACAUCACCGCACUUUCUCUCUUGCUCUUGGUCCUCAUAUUUGUAAAUCACCUUGAUUUUGCACCUGUACAUUUGAUCAGUUUCUUUAUGAAAAUAUUUAGGGAACUCCAUGACAGUAGCUAAAGCAAGGGGCUAUAGCAGCGCACAAGUAGACUACAAAUGCAUGCUGGGCCCGGCAUGCCCUGAGCUUUUGAUGUGAACGCUACUUGGAGCGGGCGAAAAGGCCGGCAAGUCAGCCUUUGGGUAUCUCGCUCCAGUCAAAUUGGACACGCUCUGCUCUAGCUCCGCUCAGAUCACUAGCCGCGGGCAGCAUUUGUUUCCGGGUAUUCUGGAAUAAGGACACGAGAUAUGGCAAUCGGGCUGGCUUUGUAGUGACUGUGCAAUUGAAGGCAGCAUGUCAGGAGUGAUGGGAUUAUGUAACUGUGUUAUAAUGCGCUAUAUUGUAUUAUUAAAAAUCGAUUGCUAAGGUUCAAUGAAGAUAAUUCAUGAUAUGUUUAGCUUAGUGGAAAAUGUAGACUUUGAUGUUGGUAAGGGGGGCGGGUGGCGUUUUGAUUGAGUUGUUGAUGGGGCAGCACUGUUUUAGCUGUCCCAUAAUGUAUACUUUUGGUGGCAGUACUGUUUUUCUUCCAGAAUCACUAUGUAAAUAAACACCCUUGCACA